RNAcentral lists this unclassified non-coding RNA (237 nucleotides) under Hevea brasiliensis (rubber tree). Lineage: Eukaryota; Viridiplantae; Streptophyta; Magnoliopsida; Malpighiales; Euphorbiaceae. The record is from RNAcentral.
AGGGAGGCUUGGCACGUGAAGGGAGCUUGGAUUGUGACAGCUAUAUUGUGAAGCGAAGUGACCCAACUGAUGAAUGGGUCAGGCAAUUGUUAGAUUUUGAGAACAACCAUUGCUUUUGCAAAAGGACUGUUUGUUUAAGAAUAAGGUUGUUUUGUAUUGCAUGUUAUUUUUCUGUAGAACUUGCUUCCACCAUGGCAUUCAUUUUUCUGAUAAUAGCCAUAAAAUAAUCACUCAUUA